RNAcentral lists this ribosomal RNA (389 nucleotides) under Pseudoduganella lurida. Its description in RNAcentral is "bacterial SSU rRNA". It matches the Rfam family "Bacterial small subunit ribosomal RNA", at positions 92 to 477 of the family's 1533-position model. Lineage: Bacteria; Pseudomonadati; Pseudomonadota; Betaproteobacteria; Burkholderiales; Oxalobacteraceae. The record is from RNAcentral.
CGAGUGGCGAACGGGUGAGUAAUAUAUCGGAACGUACCCAAGAGUGGGGGAUAACGUAGCGAAAGUUACGCUAAUACCGCAUACGAUCUAAGGAUGAAAGUGGGGGCUCGCAAGACCUCAUGCUCCUGGAGCGGCCGAUAUCUGAUUAGCUAGUUGGUAGGGUAAAGGCCUACCAAGGCAUCGAUCAGUAGCUGGUCUGAGAGGACGACCAGCCACACUGGAACUGAGACACGGUCCAGACUCCUACGGGAGGCAGCAGUGGGGAAUUUUGGACAAUGGGGGCAACCCUGAUCCAGCAAUGCCGCGUGAGUGAAGAAGGCCUUCGGGUUGUAAAGCUCUUUUGUCAGGGAAGAAACGGGAGUGGCUAAUAUCUGCUUCUAAUGACGGUA